CCUGAAGCUUCUGGGCUCCAGGGAUGCUUCCGCCUUGGAGACAGCAAUAAAGGAGAUGCAGGUUUUCUUGGUUGUGUCCGGGUUUGGACACUGACCACUGUUGAAACCCAGAAACCAGCGCGCAGAAUGAGGCCGAGGGGCCGCUUCUGGAGCGAAGCUUUCCUCUUGCCUUCUCCGCCCACCUCACCCCUGCUCCUCCCUUCAAGGAGUAGCAGAAACCCGAAUUUCUCUUCCCCUAGAGGAGCAGGGAAUUAGAACCCAUUUUCCUCAAACCAUAAAAACUUUGUGGUUAAGAGUUGGUUCCAGAGCCAGGAAGACCUUCAUACUCUGGAGGAACGAAUCCUGAACCGAGGGAUCAGGAAGAAUCGCAAGCGACUGGCUCCCAGG
Molecule: long non-coding RNA, 387 nt
Organism: Octodon degus (degu)
Lineage: Eukaryota; Metazoa; Chordata; Mammalia; Rodentia; Octodontidae
Exons: 4
Source: RefSeq, a predicted model, not a curated record